Molecule: long non-coding RNA, 1316 nt
Organism: Paramacrobiotus metropolitanus
Lineage: Eukaryota; Metazoa; Tardigrada; Eutardigrada; Parachela; Macrobiotidae
Exons: 3
Source: RefSeq, a predicted model, not a curated record
GUGAGAUCUCAGAUUAUCUUUAUUUUCCGUGCCAGUGUAGUCCAAAUAAAGUUGCAAAUACCGAGUCGUGCCUUCAGUUACUCUACUAGUUCAUAGUUACUCUACAACACCGGUUUCUUUAGAAUAGUAUGGCGGCUAAACUUUUCUGGAGCAAUUUGAGUCAGUUAAUACGUACAGAAAGGGUUAUUUGUUGGUUGUAUGAUGCCCAGGACGCUAAAGCUGCAGACGCUGGCGAAGCCAUUAAAGGGCCGACAAUCCGCCUGCUUUUUCGAUACAACCCGGCCAGUUUGUUUGGACUUGAACUGCAUACCAGCUGGACGAAAACUUUAAGAGAAAUCCUGUCUUUCUGUCGGUUUGCCGCCAAACUCAAAACUGGACUUGGAAGCCCAAAGACGAUCCGGUUUCAUGACGAAUCUAAAGUUUCGCUGGAUGUAGCUUUGGUUGAGUUGAAUACUUCGGAGGCCACAGCACAUAAAAUUCUACGCCGUGAGGACGACAAGCCUAUUUUCCUGUUAUACGUGGAAGAUUCUGCGGACUACUCAUCCGAUGUAUCAGUGCCGGAUGCUGAUGCUGACGAACCCAAACCUGCAAUGGAGUGGAGCCGGAACUUGGAUUACUUGUCGGAAGAUGUUCCUCUGAAGUUGGGUUGGAUUCCCGUACAUGUUGUCAACAAAUUCACAGGCAACCCAAUUGCUUAUCUGCAGGCCACCGGCACGGCCACAGUGGGAAACGUCAUUUACACGGGCCAAGCAGCUGAACAUUUCUGGGGAUGGCCGAUGGAUUAAUGCGGCUCGUAAAUUUUACAAUUUAAACGACACUAUCGGUAAUUUGCGUCUGGCCAUGGUGGAGCCCGAUCAGCCUGUAAUUCUGGCGCUGGAGCUGGCCAGUGCUGGAACGCAGAAUAUCGACGAACCGGGUAUGGCGGUAUCGGACGAAGAAUAAUAUUGAACUGGCGCUGUGAUCUACCACGAUGCAUCUCACUGCUGAACUGCUGAAACUUUGUACACGUUCUCUGAAUGAAUCGCGUUUUGCAGCUAGUUUUAAACCGUUCUUUUUUAUGGCAGGUUUUUUUGUGGAUUUUUCUAUUGAGAAAUUAGCAGUGUAGCCUCUCUUGCUCACUUAUUGCUGUGGACAAAAACCAAAGCAUCUUUUUUUUAGCUAUGGCCUAGGAAAUUGGAAAUGUUUUAUCUUGCUUGUUUGUCUUAUGUCCGUUUAGGAAUGAGAGAAUCGCUGGGUUUCGCUCUUUGAGAAACAAUCAUUUUCUUUGGUCAAACUAGUGAUGUCUUGGCACAAACUGCUACAGUGGUUCACAAACA